This 1874-nucleotide long non-coding RNA is filed under the name Gallus gallus (chicken). RNAcentral's name for it is "lncRNA (ENSGALG00010010081.1)". The record is from RNAcentral. Lineage: Eukaryota; Metazoa; Chordata; Aves; Galliformes; Phasianidae.
AAAGAAGGAAAGGGAAAAGAAGGAAGGAAAUAAAAAAUAAAGGGGCAGAAACCUCCCGAAGCAGCCGGAUUCGCAGUCACAAUUGGGGAAAACCCCUUCCAUUCGGGGCGCGGUGCGCGAUGCGCAGCACCAGGUGGCGCUGCCUCCAAGGGAACGGCUCUGCUCCACGGCCCCCCGACGGGGCCCUCCCCGGGGCCGCCCCCCGAGCUGAGCUCCGCAUCGCCCCCGGGUCCCUCCUCACCGUCACACGGGGACCCAGCCGUAUACAAGCAGCAGGGCGGUAGAUGUGCACAUGCAGCUCCAUGGCAGGCCUCAAAGGCUCGGAGGAAACACUUGGAGAUGAGCGGUGGGAAGUGGAGAGGCUACCAAUGCGUCUUGCUGCCCGAAUGCUCUGCUAUGGCACGGCCUGGCCAUGCUUGCAGCAUGACUGGGGACUUCUGGGUCCCCUGAGCCGCUGGUACAUCUUGUGCCAAACGUGGUGAGAAACACCAGGCCCUGAUUCUUGUUGUGUUGCAAAAGUGCAGCACAACAGCGAGCAAAUUGCCACUACUGAAUGGAGCCAUAUCAGCUGGCCACAGCUCGGAUCUGGGCAGGGGGAGGUUGUUACGUGAGCAAAUCCUGUAUUUCUGAGCAAGCCUAUUCCUCUUGUCCUCUUACAGGGCUCCGGCAGCAUUUCUGAACAAGCUUAUUCCUCCUCACCUCCCAGCAGAGCUCUCCUGCUCACACAAACACACGCACAGAGCUUGUACAAAGGGUCUGGUUGGGAUAACAGCUAGAAUUUCCCCAUCCCCUGGGACAACAAGGGAAAAAGCGGGUUUGUCUUGUGCAGAACAAGGGCUGGGAGCAGGAGCCUGCAUGGUUUCACCCUCUCCUCCCUGCUGUAGGUGUCGGAGAUGGAGAGCUGCCUGUUUAGACUGUGCUCACUGGCUUGAGGAAUAUGUGGCGUCCACGAUAUCAAACCCUGCUUGGGUGGAUUGCGAGGUGUCUGCCUGCCCUUCCCAGCCCUGCAGACUGCAAGCUGUGAGUGGAUCGAUAAGGUGCCCGAAUCCAAAGUGAAUCUGAAGGAUGAAAAAGAAUCUCAGAAGCGAUAGUGAGAUUUCAAGGAAGGAAGAACCACUUGGCAGAGACUGAACUCCUAACCCCGAGCCUUUAUCUCGGCCACACCUAGUGCAGAUAUGUGCGUCAGGAAUCAAACCUCGGCCUUCUGCUCACACAUUGAGAUGGUAACAGCGUGGCUCACCUCCAGCAGGGAUGGCCAACACACAACGGAGAGAAGGAUUGGUCCACAAAGGCACAAAAACAGGGGAACCCCAAUAAGCAUUUUAAGUUGGCCGCCGCUUGCUUAAGCAUAACGACCCUUGAAAAAAAAAAACACCCCCAAAUUAAUUAAACUUCCCAGAGAGAGGCCUCCAGUAACUCUCAUCAAGCCCUUCCCACCUGCCUUAAUUAGAAAGCUUGUGUGCAUGCGUGUGCUACCAGCUAACUUUGCUUUUAAUUAAACCCAUUACACAACGCUCGGCUGAUUAGUGCGCCAUAACCUAAUUUGCCUGGAUGAAGAUGGACAUACACAACCCAGUAAUCAGAUUAAUUUGUAUACAUCUACUUUUACACAUGUGCUGUUGGUAGUAUGCAUCGAUACGGGUGCAUUGGCCUAUGGAGAGAUGGCUGAAGCAGAAUGUCUGGGGGUUGGGUGUACCCUCCUACAAAUAAACCAGAACCCUUUGCAAUAAGCUGAGUGUCCAGCACAUGCAUUUGUCCCUGGGUUUAGCUGAACGCCAGCCCCCGGUUACCUGCUUUGAUUUGAGAUGUUUUCUAUUUUGUACGGUGAGGAAAGGCUGCAGAAAGCUGGCCUGGGCUCUAUGGGGUCUGGCUGG